RNAcentral lists this ribosomal RNA (468 nucleotides) under uncultured bacterium. RNAcentral describes it as "partial 16S ribosomal RNA". It matches the Rfam family "Bacterial small subunit ribosomal RNA", at positions 28 to 507 of the family's 1533-position model. The record is from RNAcentral.
GACGAACGCUGGCGGCGUGCUUAACACAUGCAAGUCGAACGGAAAGGCCCUGCUUUUGUGGGGUGCUCGAGUGGCGAACGGGUGAGUAACACGUGAGUAACCUGCCCUUGACUUUGGGAUAACUUCAGGAAACUGGGGCUAAUACCGGAUAGGAGCUCCUGCUGCAUGGUGGGGGUUGGAAAGUUUCGGCGGUUGGGGAUGGACUCGCGGCUUAUCAGCUUGUUGGUGGGGUAGUGGCUUACCAAGGCUUUGACGGGUAGCCGGCCUGAGAGGGUGACCGGGCAAAAUGGGAAUGGAAAUCGGCCCCGAACGCUAACGGAGGGAAGCGGUGGGGAUAUUUGCCAAUGGGGGGAAGCCUGAUGCAGCAACGCCGCGUGCGGGAUGACGGCCUUCGGGUUGUAAACCGCUUUCGCCUGUGACGAAGCGUGAGUGACGGUAAUGGGUAAAGAAGCACCGGCUAACUACGUG